UUAAAACAGCGUUCGUUGAGCUCGAUGGAUUUGUUGGGAAGAUAACUUUUAAAAUACCUUUCCAAUGGAAAUUAAGUGGAAGCGAAAAUUCAAUGUCUUCUCGCGAUAAAAAUCAAUUUUGAUAUAAAUGUUAAAGUGUCGAAACGAUAGUUUAAUUAAACUAUGUUUAUCAAACAACACUAGAGCAAUAAUUUGUUCUAUCUAUUGUGUCUUGGUAAGAGUAUGUUUGUUGUUCUCCAACAUUUUUAUACUUGCACCCGUCUCGAACGAGGAAAUAACUGUUCUAAUUGGAAACUUAAAAAGCUAUUUUAUCUUUCAGCAUUAAAGAUUUAUAUCGUGCGCUUAUGUAUCGUCGAUAAUUCUUCAAAAUCAAUUUUCUCGAUAAGGAACCUUAUAACAGGCAAGAUUGAUACUACUACGUGAAGUAUAAUAAGAAAAUCCCGUUCACGAUUAUUCCAUUAUUACCUCCCCUUCGUUUAUAUCGGUUAUAAGUAGUUGUAGCUUCAAUAUCGACGCUAAUAUGUAUCGAUUUUACAGAUAUUGUAAAUUGUUAGGAAUAUCGUAUACCUCCUUAAUCAUCAAAAGAAAGUAAAAAUUAAAUUCUAAGAUCAUUAUACAGGUGAAAAUAAUUCUUGAUUUUAUAGCGUAUCGAAUAAUAUUUCUGUAUUUAAAUUUUAAAUAAUGAAUUGAUUAGUUGCACAACUGUGACUAAUCAUCCUUGAAUAAACCGUGUAUUCAAUUUAUUUCCACCAAAGGCUGGUGUUUCAGAUAUUCCAUAGACCGUGCUAUCGUUUUUGGAAUUUAUCGAUCGAAUAGCUUUCAUAAAGUCAAAGAAUUUAUCAAUCCAUUCGAUUCGAGAGUCAGUUUUGAACUCUGGCCAGUGGCUCGACUAGAAGCAGGCAACCAUUUCGACAAUUGCAACGAGGUACAGAAUUCGAAAUAAACUUGCGCGUAUCAGUCUCUAAGAAAUAAAGCAAUUGUCGUAAACAAAUUCUGAUAUAUUACUCGGGAGGAUUAGUUUAAUCGCACAUACAAAAUUGGAAAAAUCAGUCCAGUAUAAAACCGCAUAAUAACAUGCAUAACGUGUUACUGAAAGCUUAUUUUACGCUUGGUAUCGCAUGAACGAUCUAUCUUGGCAAACUAAAUAAUUUCUAACUGGAUAACGGAUAUCCAUAAUAUGCAUAAAGAUUGCCCGAGUAAACCUCGUAUUUUAUGCAGUGCAGCUAGAAAAGUUUGCGACCGUUUAUUCGAUGAGAGGAAAACUUGGAUUUUUUAACGGAAAAAAUAUGAAUAAGCGAUGCUUCCAACAAGAGAAAGUUCAGUCCUUAGAAGAGAAAAUGCUGCUUUUAUAUGUUCCUUUUUCAAGCGUGUAAAAGGAGAUAAAUAUUGUUUGAGAAGAAAGCAGAAUGUUUUACUCCAACAAAAUAAAGAUAUCAUAAAUUAUUAUAACAUUAUAAAGAACAUUUGCGUCGCUCCUCCUCCUAAUCUGAAAUUAUUUCGUUUUUACCUUCCAAUCGAAUAGUUUGAACGUGAAUACAAUUUGUAUUCUACACUCAUACGAACUACACCCACACAGACUAAAUUUAAUUAUAUAGUUCUAAGGACCACUAUUCAAAUACGCAAGCAAAUUAAUAUGAGGUGGAAUAUUGGAAUAAGAUGGAAACACGAAAACUUGAACUUGAAUUUAUUGCGAUAAAAUAACGUCGCACAAGCGAGACGAAAAUUGUAGAAAUUACAUUUCGUUGGAAUAGCAUAAAACUUUCGAGAUGAAUAUUCUCGAUGUAAUUAAUUAACGAAGAAAUAAAUUAAACAGUUGACACACGUUCGUGAACUUGGCAAGUGUCAUAGUCUGACGUUUAAUAUUUGAUGGAACGCUACAGAAGGAAAAAACCAAAGAAUCAGCGAGAAUUUUUCAAUUCUAAUUCAUAGCCGAAACGAGGAAAUUAAUUAAUCGGCGCGCGCGUGAUGUGUGAAAUAGUGGACAGAUGCGUCGUAAUUAAACAGGUUUGUCGUGUCAUCAAAAAUUAAUUUGGUUUGUUACUAAUUAAAGAACAUAUCAUUUGAACGUAGAUUUCAUUAUGCACGAUGCUGUUCUGUUAUUUACGAAAGAUUGAUCACAUAAAUGAUAUUUUGUGGAAAAUUUAAAAUGAAUGGUUAGCUAAAAUUCCGAAAAGUUUUACAUACCUAUGUAAUAUGAUAAUAUAUAUAAUGUAUAUAUAUCAUAAUAUGUAUGUACAGUUUUUUAUGGUAAGUUUUUAAAUAUUUUCGUGAGUCAGAAUAUAUUCUCACGCAUUGUAUCUAAAGAAUUUACUAAUUUGUAUGCUAUAUGAUAUGUUCUAGCAUCUUCCAAGAAUUCGUCGGUUCGAAUACGUUCGACUUCCCGCGAAGCUAAACAUCCCCACCCUAAUAAGAAUAUUAGACGAAACCACAGUGCGGGCAUUCGAUUGUCGAAAAUCGUGGCAUCAAGAUGUAUCGAUCGACACUUGAGAUCAUUAACUGUGUAAUACAUUUCCAAUGCUAUUCUUCUACGUUUAUAUGCUACUAUUAGAUUAUUGGUUAAUAGAGAGAUCGACAUGAAAAAAACAGGAAAUCAAAAUGUAGAGGCUGUGAUAAUUAACGUUUAAUUUGGCGGAAGCAGUCUUCUCGUGUUCAUAUUGCUCUCCGAAUUACUGGUUUUUUACAACCCCCACCUUUUCCCGUUCUUUGGAGAGGAUCUAAUCUGUAAUUAAAUGAGUGCUUCAAAAGCCAAGAAUAUUUCUCACAAUCUCUACUUUCACCAUGAGGGACGACGGUUUUUACUUGAUAACCGCUUUUCAGAUGACUUCUCGCACAUCACACCAUCGAUAACAACGAUCUUCGCGUCUAA
Molecule: long non-coding RNA, 2866 nt
Organism: Bombus terrestris (buff-tailed bumblebee)
Lineage: Eukaryota; Metazoa; Arthropoda; Insecta; Hymenoptera; Apidae
Exons: 4
Source: RefSeq, a predicted model, not a curated record